Molecule: ribosomal RNA, 484 nt
Filed under: uncultured bacterium
Lineage: Bacteria
Description: partial 16S ribosomal RNA
Rfam family: Bacterial small subunit ribosomal RNA
Source: RNAcentral
AUUGAACGCUGGCGGCAUGCCUAACACCUGCAAGUCGAGCGGACGAAGGGAGCUUGCUCCUGGAUUCAGUUGCGGACGGGCGAGUAAUGCCUAGGAAUCUGCCCUGUAGUUGGGGAUAACGUCCGUAAACGGGCGCUAAUACCGCAUACGUCCUUAUGGUGAAAGUGGGGGAUCUUCGGACCUCACGCUACUUGAUGAGACUAGGUCGGAUUAGCUAGUUGGUUGGGUAAAGGCCUACCAAGGCGACGAUCCGUAACUGGUCUGAGAGGAUGAUCAGUCACACUGGAACUGAGACACGGUCCAGACUCCUACGGGAGGCAGCAGUGGGGAAUAUUGGACAAUGGGCGAAAGCCUGAUCCAGCCAUGCCGCGUGUGUGAAGAAGGUCUUCGGAUUGUAAAGCACUUUAAGUUGGGAGGAAGGGCAGUAAGUUAAUACCUUGCUGUUUUGACGUUACCAACAGAAUAAGCACCGGCUAACUUCGUG